GUUGCCGGCGGAGGCAUUUAGGUAGUGCACGGCGGCUGGGCGCCGGACCUGUUUGGCUGUGACGCCCACCCCCGGCUUUUAUCCGCCUAUGCCCUAGAGCUAGUGGAAGACCUAAGAUGGCGGCGUUUGCGCGGGGUGUAACCACUGCGUCCUUACGGGGGUUGCAAGGCGUCCGAAGUAUGAGUCCACUAACAAAAGUCCAGAAACUCGCCAGUUAAUAGUAUUGUGUCUCUUCAAAAUAUCGGAAAAUAAUUUCUUUCUCGCUGAUCGCCUAACUUCUACUGACGAGGCUAGGAAGUUGCAGAAGAUGGAGUUCACUCUUGUUGCCCAGGCUGGAAUGCAAUGGCAUGACCUUGGCUCACUGCAACCUCUGCCUCCCCAGUUCAAGUGGUUCUCCUGCCUCAGCCUCCCGAGUAGCUGGGAUUAGAG
RNAcentral lists this long non-coding RNA (429 nucleotides) under Pongo abelii (Sumatran orangutan). RNAcentral describes it as "lincRNA". The stretch from base 95 to 229 matches the Rfam family "JPX transcript, XIST activator conserved region 1". The record is from RNAcentral. Lineage: Eukaryota; Metazoa; Chordata; Mammalia; Primates; Hominidae.